GGCGAAGCGGCGGAGGCGUCCAGCGGAGGUGAAAGCAUUGGCGGAAAGGAAAAUACAGCGGAAAAAUGCAGAGCUGGAGUCGUGUGUACUGCUCCUUGGCCAAGAGAGGCCAUUUCAAUCGAAUAUCUCAUGGCCUACAGGGACUUUCUGCAGUGCCUCUGAGAACUUAUGCAGAUCAGCCAAUUGAUGCUGAUGUAACAGUUAUAGGUUCUGGUCCUGGAGGAUAUGUUGCUGCUAUUAAAGCUGCCCAGUUAGGCUUCAAGACAGUCUGCGUUGAGAAAAAUGAAACACUUGGUGGAACGUGCUUGAAUGUUGGUUGUAUUCCUUCUAAGGCUUUGUUGAACAACUCUCAUUAUUACCAUAUGGCCCAUGGAAAAGAUUUUGCAUCUAGAGGAAUUGAAACAUUAGGUUGAAAUUUUCCAGUUGGUGAGUGAAAAACACUGCAUAUUGCUUCAAGAAUUUAGCUAAGAACUAAAGAUUAAUUGAACAAAUUACAGUGUCCGAAGUUCGCUUGAAUUUAGACAAGAUGAUGGAGCA
This 537-nucleotide small RNA is filed under the name Pongo abelii (Sumatran orangutan). RNAcentral describes it as "processed transcript". Lineage: Eukaryota; Metazoa; Chordata; Mammalia; Primates; Hominidae. The record is from RNAcentral.